This 380-nucleotide unclassified non-coding RNA is filed under the name Hevea brasiliensis (rubber tree). Lineage: Eukaryota; Viridiplantae; Streptophyta; Magnoliopsida; Malpighiales; Euphorbiaceae. The record is from RNAcentral.
GGAAUGAAACCUGGCCAAAGUGAAAUCUUCGACUCAAGACAACAUUCUGCUCAGAUUAGAAUGUUUCAGAGGUUGGCAUUUGGUAGUCAGAACUAUAGUGCAGAUUUUUUUGAUAACAAUCAAAGUAGCUGGAGGAGUUGGGAGCAUAGCCAGAGUAACUUCAUACCAUAAGUGCAUCUCAGUACAGAAUUGAUAUGAGUUCAAGUCUUCCAUGGCAAACAAUUAUCUUAAAUUUCUGAUCUAUAAAAUGGAAUUUGAUAGCAGCUAAUUUCUGAAGGGUUACAGGCUCAAUCCUGGAUUUUGAGACCCCUUGACAAUUUUGUUCAUCUUGGAGCCAGGUCAUACCAAGUCCAGUCUCCCUCCAACCCCUCCUUCUCGGC